RNAcentral lists this ribosomal RNA (460 nucleotides) under uncultured bacterium. RNAcentral describes it as "partial 16S ribosomal RNA". It matches the Rfam family "Bacterial small subunit ribosomal RNA", at positions 338 to 795 of the family's 1533-position model. The record is from RNAcentral.
CCUACGGGAGACAGCAGUGAUGAAUAUUGGUCAAUGGACGAGCGUCUGAACCAGCCAAGUAGCGUGAAGGAUGACUGCCCUAUGGGUUGUAAACUUCUUUUAUAAAGGAAUAAAACGAGGCCCGUAUGCCUUUUUGCAUGUACUUUAUGCAUAAGGAUCGGCUAACUCCGUGCCAGCCGCCGCGGUACUACGGAGGAUCCGAGCGUUAUCCGGAUUGAUCUGGUUUAAAGGGAACGUAGAUGGGUUGUUAAGUCAGUUGUGAAAGUUUGCGGCUCAACCGUAAAAUUGCAAUUGAUACUGGCAGUCUUGAGUACAGUUGAGGUAGGCAGAAGUCGUGGUGUAGCGGUGAAAUGCUUAGAUAUCACGAAGAACCCCGAUUGCGAAGGCAGCUUACUAAACUGUGACUGACAUUGAUGCGCGAAAGUGUGGGUAUCAAACAGGAUUAGAUACCCCAGUAGUC